AUAUUACCGGGCAGGGGUGAUACCAUGAUCAUGAAGGUGGUUUUCCCUGGGCAAGGCUGAUCCAUUGCACUCCGGGUGUGCUGACCUCUGCGGUUUCCCCACAUGUGGGAAGCUCAGCUGCAUAAUUUAUGGUAGUAGGGGACUGCAUUUGCACUCUUCCCUG
Phyllostomus discolor (pale spear-nosed bat) is the source of this 163-nucleotide small nuclear RNA. RefSeq annotates it as U1 spliceosomal RNA. Lineage: Eukaryota; Metazoa; Chordata; Mammalia; Chiroptera; Phyllostomidae. The record is from RefSeq and is a predicted model, not a curated record. The transcript has a single exon.